This 24-nucleotide microRNA is filed under the name Limulus polyphemus (Atlantic horseshoe crab). Its description in RNAcentral is "Lpo-Mir-305-P4_5p (mature (guide))". RNAcentral also lists the same sequence under 2 other names. The record is from RNAcentral. Lineage: Eukaryota; Metazoa; Arthropoda; Merostomata; Xiphosura; Limulidae.
UUUGUACUUCAUCAGGUGCUCUGG